This 253-nucleotide ribosomal RNA is filed under the name uncultured bacterium. RNAcentral describes it as "partial 16S ribosomal RNA". It matches the Rfam family "Bacterial small subunit ribosomal RNA", at positions 524 to 776 of the family's 1533-position model. The record is from RNAcentral.
UACGAGGGGUCAAAGCGUUGUUCGGAAUCAUUGGGCGUAAAGCGGGUGUAGGUGGCCUUAUAAGUCAGAAGUGAAAGCCCUGGGCUCAACCCAGGAAGUGCUUUUGAUACUGUAAGGCUUGAGUAUGGGAGAGGGUAGUAGAAUUCCUGGUGUAGUGGUGAAAUACGUAGAUAUCAGGAGGAAUACCGGUGGCGAAGGCGGCUACCUGGCCCAAUACUGACACUCAGACCCGAAAGCGUGGGGAGCAAACAGG